GUGAGUAACACGUGAGUAACCUGCCCUUGACUCUGGGAUAAGCCUGGGAAACUGGGUCUAAUACCGGAUAUGACUCCUCAUCGCAUGGUGGGGGGUGGAAAGCUUUUUGUGGUUUUGGAUGGACUCGCGGCCUAUCAGCUUGUUGGUGGGGUAAUGGCCUACCAAGGCGACGACGGGUAGCCGGCCUGAGAGGGUGACCGGCCACACUGGGACUGAGACACGGCCCAACUCCUACGGGAGGCAGCAGGGGGAAUAUUGCACAAUGGGCGAAAGCCUGAUGCAGCGACCCGCGUGAGGGAUGACGGCCUUCGGGUUGUAAACCUCUUUCAGUAGGGAAGAAGCCCUCUUUGGGGGUGACGGUACUUGCAAAAAGCGCCGGCUAACUACGUGCCAGCAGCCGCGGUAAUACGUAGGGCGCAAGCGUUAUCCGGAAUUAUUGGGCGUAAAGAGCUCGUAGGCGGUUUGUCGCGUCUGCUGUAAAGACCGGGGCUCAACUCCGGUUCUGCAGUGGGUACGGGCAGACUAGAGUGCAGUAGGGGAGACUGGAAUUCCUGGUGUAGCGGUGAAAUGCGCAGAUAUCAGGAGGAACACCGAUGGCGAAGGCAGGUCUCUGGGCUGUAACUGACGCUGAGGAGCGAAAGCAUGGGGAGCGAACAGGAUUAGAUACCCUGGUAGUCCAUGCCGUAAACGUUGGGCACUAGGUGUGGGGGGACAUUCCACGUUUUCCGCGCCGUAGCUAACGCAUUAAGUGCCCCGCCUGGGGAGUACGGCCGCAAGGCUAAAACUCAAAGGAAUUGACGGGGGCCCGCACAGCGGCGGAGCUGCGGAUUAAUUGAUGCAACGCGAAGAACCUUACCAAGGCUUGACAUGGACCGGAAAGACCGGAAACAGGUGCCCCGCUGCGGCCGGUUUACAGGUGGUGCAUGGUUGUGUCAGCUGUGUGUGAGAUGUUGGGUUAAGUCCCGCAACGAGCGCAACCCUGUUUAUGUUGCCAGCGGUUGGCCGGGGACUCAUAGGAGACUGCCGGGGUCAACUGGAGGAAGGUGGGGACGACGUCAAAUCAUCAUGCCCCUUAUGUUUGGGCUUCACGCUGCUACAAUGGCCGGUACAAAGGGUUGCGAUACUGUGAGGUGGAGCUAAUCCCAAAAAGCCGGUUCAGUUGGAUUGGGGUUGCAACUGACCCCAUGAAGUGGAGUCGCUAGUAAUCGCAGAUCAGCAACGCUGCGGUGAAUACGUUCCCGGGCCUUGUACACACCGCCCGUC
This 1263-nucleotide ribosomal RNA is filed under the name Arthrobacter sp. RNAcentral's name for it is "bacterial SSU rRNA". It matches the Rfam family "Bacterial small subunit ribosomal RNA", at positions 106 to 1398 of the family's 1533-position model. The record is from RNAcentral. Lineage: Bacteria; Bacillati; Actinomycetota; Actinomycetes; Micrococcales; Micrococcaceae.